Molecule: long non-coding RNA, 893 nt
Organism: Anguilla rostrata (American eel)
Lineage: Eukaryota; Metazoa; Chordata; Actinopteri; Anguilliformes; Anguillidae
Exons: 2
Source: RefSeq, a predicted model, not a curated record
GUUGAGUAUACCAGUUGCAUACAGUUAUAUGCAGCUUGUAUACUCAAUAGUAGGAAAUUAAAGUUUUACCCAGUUUACUGAACCCGAAUCAGUUCCAGCUUUUCCACGCAAUGGUACAAAAUAGUAAGGUUGAAAAAAACAUUUGGGUAUGGUGUGGAUCAUAUUCGGAGGGGGGGCUAGAUCUAAUUAAGCAUGGAGUUGGUGCAGCUAUAGCCUCGCAGCCUGCACUGUGCUAAUUACAUUAUUCAGUGUGAUCAGUGUGGCCUUGUGGAGAAGAAGAAAAACAAAGGUGACCCAGGGGAGAAGUGGACCCAAACCAUGCCAGGAAAAUGCCCCCCACAGCAUAACAGAGACACCGGACCCCCCCAAUGGGUCAAGCAUUCAGGCCUGUACCAUUCUCUUGGUCUAUGCCACACAUGCACUCUCACAAUAGUUGAGAAUAUGGUGAUGAAUGACUUGUCUGACCAUAUCACUUUUUUCCACAUUUCUGUAGACCAGUGCCUAUGGUUUUUGCACCACUGAACUCUCAAAUGUGCAUUUGUCUUUGUAAUGCAGAGUUUAUGCACUACAACCCUACUGUGAUAUCCCUGUUUAUGUAGUUGUGGAUGGAUUGUUUUUGCUGAUGCAAUCUGAUCACGUCCUGCAUUGACAUUCUCAGUCACCUAAGGAAGAGUUGCUUUUCUCAUUUUCCUUACAUAUCGCACUAAUGCAUGAGCAUCACAGUCAUCGAAUGUGCGCUUUCGGCCACAAUUUCCAUCCCUUACUGAUGUCUUUCCCAUAGAUUUAAAUGCAGAUAUCACUUUAGUCACUGCUCCAAUUGAAACACUGGCCAGUUGAGCAGUCUUUGUAGCUGAAACUCCUGUACCCCAAUAAUAAACCCUCUUUCAAAGUCA